This 577-nucleotide long non-coding RNA is filed under the name Pan troglodytes (chimpanzee). RNAcentral describes it as "lincRNA". The record is from RNAcentral. Lineage: Eukaryota; Metazoa; Chordata; Mammalia; Primates; Hominidae.
GGGAAAAUGGAUAAUAAUGAAGCCCACAGAUUUUCACUCCAGAACUGACUUUGCUGCAGAGGAGUGAGGAGAGCUGCCUGGCAACGCAACGCAUCGCUGUGCAUAAACUUUGUUUACAGCCAAGGCUGGAGUAAAGGAACAGAUGGCAAGAAAAUCGGAUUUAAAGAAAGGAAGGAUGUGCUUGCAUCUGGGAGCUCGGUAGAUCUCUUGGCUUCUGGUGUGCGUACAAGGGUGACGUCUAGCUACCCCGGCAGUCGCGUCCCAGUUUGCUGUUGAUUUUUGCCUGUUUGGAUCUGUCUCUGAGGAUGGUUAAUACAUCUUAUUACAAGCAUUUAUCUCAUCCCUCCCACAGGAAAUGUGUUUUCCCAGGGAUUUGUAUGUUCCCUAACCUUUUAUGGAAAGCAGUUUCUUGAUCAUCCAUGUGAUUGUGUAUCUAAAAUUUCAAGAAUAUUUAAGCUGUUAAUCCUGCUUGUCUGUAGAAGAUGGGUUUAUAUUUCUAUGAUCUUGGAAAUAUUUACAAUGAGCGUGUAUAACAAGGAGAAAUAAGCAUAAACAUUUAUGCCUGCCACAUUUGUAA